Molecule: long non-coding RNA, 310 nt
Organism: Gallus gallus (chicken)
Lineage: Eukaryota; Metazoa; Chordata; Aves; Galliformes; Phasianidae
Exons: 3
Source: RefSeq, a predicted model, not a curated record
CACUGCAGACCUCCUUGUAUAAAAAGAGUUCACGUCUCCAAAGAUAAUAGCAAAGAAUUCCAAGAGGACAUUUUACCAGAAGUAUGGCUUUAUGUUCAUUACCAACCAGCCUGUGUAAUGAGGAAGAUGUCCUAUGGAAAAGUCCUUGCAGACUUCACUCAGACAGCAUGCCGAGGCGUAUUUCUGUUGCUGGAAGAUGCAGUUAAGCCAAGUGAUAUGAUAUCUCUGCACAUAACCUAAUGAGGACAGCUACACAGAACAGUGCUAGGGGGAUCUGCGUGACAAACAAUAAAAGCAUAGCUCACUCUUC